This is a non-coding RNA of Camelina sativa (false flax), 1082 nucleotides long. The record is from RefSeq and is a predicted model, not a curated record. Lineage: Eukaryota; Viridiplantae; Streptophyta; Magnoliopsida; Brassicales; Brassicaceae.
UUCUUCUUCCAGUGAGUCUUGUUGUUUUGGUCGGUCGAGAGAUUUUUCUCGUUUCAUCUUCUUCCAUCGACGACGACGAUUUGCUCAGAAACAAAACAGUUUCUCAUCGGAGAAGAAUCUCGUUUACGAUUCUCCUUCUCCUAAUCUCGUUUAGUACAAGGGUCUCUGGUUCGAUUGACGAAUCUGGAAGAAGAGUGAUUGAAGCGAGAACUGGGCAAGACUUGAUUUGGGUUGUUCAGCUUUCCGAUCUCCAUUUCAGUGUUCAUCAUCCCGAAAGAGCCAUUGAUUUCAAAAACAUCGUUGGUCCUGCUCUGUCUCUUAUCAACCCUUCUCUCGUUCUAAUCACCGGUGAUCUCACAGAUAGGAAAAGCAAAGACAUGUUAACAAUGAAGCUAAAUGAAGAUGAGUGGUUAGAAUACGAGAGUGUGAUGAAAGAUGUUGUGAAAGAAGUGGGUUGAAUAAGAGCAUAUUCUAUGUAGAGAAGAGAAAUGUUGCAUCCGCGGAUUCUAUCAUCCGAGGAGCAAUAGAAAACAAUGAGAAACUACGAGCGCAGUUUUCUUCUGCGGUCACAACCACAUUAAGCAAUGUGGAUUCUGCAAACAGCGAUAUCAUCUCAUCCAUUGACCAAUCUUUACAACUCGAUAAAGACGUAUCAGUGGAUGUUAAUUCCACAAUCGCUCCUUGUUCUGAAAACUUGAAAGAACUAAGAAGCCACCAUGAUGGCAACGUAGUAGACAUCAAAGAAAAGACAGGAAAAUGUUUUGGUCACGAGUACAAGGUGGAUGAAGCAACAAGCUCAACGCCAAGGAAGAGAGAGUACAACAUUCCAACGGUAGGAUCAAUAGAAGAACUGAAAACGCCUUCAUUGGGUGCUGAAAGUACUUCCAACUGGUGGUAUCAGUUUACCGACCUUUCCGUUGGAUUCAUGUUUUAUGUCAACAUCCUUUGCACGUCACAAAUAUGAAUGAUAGUAGCAUGAUCAUAGUUUUCAUGAUCAUAGUUUUCAAGAAGCAGUUCAUUCUCAACAGUGUUUUAUUGUUUCAUACAAAUAUUAUAUUAAUAAAUCAUAUGAUCUUACACUA